UCGAGGAUCUUCGGCAAUGAGCGCAAGCUUGACCGAGCGACGCCGCGUGUGCGAUGAAGGCCUUCGGGUUGUAAAGCACUGUCGAGGGGGAGAAAAGCCGAAAGGUUUGAUCUAUCCCUGGAGGAAGCACGGGCUAAGUUCGUGCCAGCAGCCGCGGUAAGACGAACCGUGCGAACGUUGUUCGGAAUCACUGGGCUUAAAGGGCGCGUAGGCGGGCUGCCAAGUCCGUGGUGAAAUCCUCCGGCUCAACCGGAGAAUGGCCUCGGAUACUGGCGGCCUGGAGGCGGGUAGGGGCAAGCGGAACUGUGGGUGGAGCGGUGAAAUGCGUUGAUAUCCACAGGAACUCCGGUGGCGAAGGCGGCUUGCUGGACCCGAUCUGACGCUGAGGCGCGAAAGCCAGGGGAGCGAACGGGAUUAGAUACCCCUGUAGUCC
Molecule: ribosomal RNA, 433 nt
Filed under: uncultured bacterium
Lineage: Bacteria
Description: bacterial SSU rRNA
Rfam family: Bacterial small subunit ribosomal RNA
Source: RNAcentral